RNAcentral lists this ribosomal RNA (525 nucleotides) under uncultured bacterium. RNAcentral's name for it is "bacterial SSU rRNA". It matches the Rfam family "Bacterial small subunit ribosomal RNA", at positions 791 to 1339 of the family's 1533-position model. The record is from RNAcentral.
UAGUCCACGCCGUAAACGAUGUCUACUUGGAGGUUGUUCCCUUGAGGAGUGGCUUUCGGAGCUAACGCGUUAAGUAGACCGCCUGGGGAGUACGGUCGCAAGAUUAAAACUCAAAUGAAUUGACGGGGGCCCGCACAAGCGGUGGAGCAUGUGGUUUAAUUCGAAGCAACGCGCAGAACCUUACCUACCCUUAACAUUUCACGACGUAUACAGAGAUGUAUAUUUCUCUUCGGAGACGUGAGGAUAGGUGCUGCAUGGCUGUCGUCAGCUCGUGUCGUAAGAUGUCUGGUUAAGUCCAAUAACGAGCGCAACCCUUAUCCUUAGUUACCAGCAUUAAGUUGGGGACUCUAGGGAGACUGCCGGUGUUAAACCGGAGGAAGGCGAGGAUGACGUCAAGUCCUCACGGCCCUUACGGGUAGGGCUACACACGUACUACAAUGGCGACCAUAAUGGGAUAAUCCCCAAAAGUCGUCUCAGUUCAGAUUGUCUGCUGCAACUCGCAGGCAUGAAGUUGGAAUCGCUAGU